UACCCGCAGCACAAGUGGUGGUCAUUAUUAUUGGGCCUAAAGCGUCCGUAGCUGGCUUGUUAGAUGCCUGGGUAAAUCGAUGCGCUCAACGUAUCGAACUCCGGGUAGACCGGCAAGCUCGAGACCGGGAGAGGUGUAGGCUACUCGAGGGGUAGGGGUAAAAUCCUGUAAUCCUUCGGGGAGGACCAGUGGCGAAGGCGCUACACUAGAACGGCUCUGACAGUGAGGGACGAAGCCCUGGGGCGCAAACCGG
Molecule: ribosomal RNA, 253 nt
Filed under: uncultured bacterium
Lineage: Bacteria
Description: partial 16S ribosomal RNA
Rfam family: Archaeal small subunit ribosomal RNA
Source: RNAcentral